This 513-nucleotide ribosomal RNA is filed under the name uncultured bacterium. Its description in RNAcentral is "partial 16S ribosomal RNA". It matches the Rfam family "Bacterial small subunit ribosomal RNA", at positions 28 to 523 of the family's 1533-position model. The record is from RNAcentral.
GACGAACGCUGGCGGCGUGCCUAAUACAUGCAAGUCGAGCGAAUCAAUAGGAGCUUGCUCCUGCUGAUUAGCGGCGGACGGGUGAGUAACACGUGGGCAACCUGCCUGUGAGACUGGGAUAACUUCGGGAAACCGGAGCUAAUACCGGAUAAUCCUUUUUCCACUCAUGUGGAAAAGCUGAAAGUCGGUUUCGGCUGACACUUGCAGAUGGGCCCGCGGCGCAUUAGCUAGUUGGUGAGGUAACGGCUCACCAAGGCGACGAUGCGUAGCCGACCUGAGAGGGUGAUCGGCCACACUGGGACUGAGGCACGGCCCAGACUCCUACGGGAGGCAGCAGUAGGGAAUCUUCCGCAAUGGACGAAAGUCUGACGGAGCAACGCCGCGUGAGCGAUGAAGGCCUUCGGGUCGUAAAGCUCUGUUGUUAGGGAAGAAUAAGUAUCGGAGUAACUGCCGGUACCUUGACGGUACCUAACCAGAAAGCCACGGCUAACUACGUGCCAGCAGCCGCGGUAA